Molecule: long non-coding RNA, 2496 nt
Organism: Gavialis gangeticus (Gharial)
Lineage: Eukaryota; Metazoa; Chordata; Crocodylia; Gavialidae
Exons: 2
Source: RefSeq, a predicted model, not a curated record
CCUACUUUCCUCCCCUUCUCUGCCACAGAUAUACCAUCCAGAUGCUGCUCUCCAAGCUGCCCGGCUACAUUCCUAGCCGCAUGCAUGUUGCAGCUGCGCGCGUGUAUGCAGCAUUUAUCAAUGGCAUUAUUGGCUACACCAGUCAAAAAAAACCAAUUGCCGAUUAAUGUUAAUUUUCCUUUUAUCAGUGCUGAUCCAAUAUGGACCGAUAUAUUGGUGCACCUCUAGAUUUGAGUUAUGCAGUCAUAUGUAUAUGCUUGUUCUGUGAACAUCUUUAUCUUUUUGGCUUAGGAAAAUAUGUUAGAAAAUAAAAUCAGGAAAUUGUCUGCCAUAUUUCCUUAGAGAAACAGAAAGUCCUGACUUUUUCAGAUGUAUAUAAUAAGUCUCAGUAUUAUAUUUAGUGGACAUCCCUUACUAUAAAAAUACAACAUUUAACUGAGUUGUGAGACCCUGAUAUAAACUUACAUGGGUAUCAUGUCAGAACUUUGGAUUUUUAAUAGUGAACAUUUGAAAAAUAGCUACCAGUUGGUAACAAAAAGAGGGGCAUACUUCCCCAACAUAAUUCUAAAAAUAAAACUGUGAUUUUUCUGAUUUGAUAUUGCUGAGGUGUUUUUCAUGCACUCGCAGCAUUUUUCUUACUGGACAGUCACAUUUUCUUCUAAAAUGUUUUUUAUAUAGCUCAUGGAAUAAUCAGUUGAGAGGCUCCUAUGUGUAUGUUUCUAAAUUUAAAUAAUCUGUAUACUAUCUGAGAUAAAUUAGUCAUUGGGCAUUUUACAGGCAGAGCAGUAAAGGGUGGGUUUGUCUGUGUGUAUAAGCCAUGUUAAUGGGAGGCCUGAAGAAAUGUUUGCUUUAUUAAAGUUUGUUCUUAGUUAUAUUUGGAGAUGAAUUAACAAAAGGAAUACAAACAUCAUCAGGUUUGUGAGAGAAACUUAUUCAAAAUUAAUUGAAACAAAAGUGAGCAUUUAUGAAAGAACAAUGUAUGCUACUUCUAGAUGAUUUCUAGUUGUUCCCAUAGGCAAGAAAAUUGCAAUAAGAUGUGUGGGGGGAGUUAAUUCAGUUUUGGGUUACUGUUUAUUUUAAUGCAAGCUACAACAGUUUGUUUUGGCAUUUCCAAUAAUUACUUUUAUGACCUGUUCUUAAAAGUCCUGAAUCAUUUUAAAACAUUAAAAAUAGAAAUUAUGUGGUGGACAGAAACCUGUUCCCUGGCCUCCCCUCUAGUCUAUGCAAAUCAUAGCAGCUACUAACAAUUAGUAGAUGGUACUAAUGUGAUCUGACCUGCAGGUCCCUCGUUUUCUCUGCAGAGCCUUCACUGGGCUCCCCUUAGCCCACUGCAUCAAGUUUGAACCUCUCCCCCAUCCUCACCUUGUUUCUCUUCUUGAGCAUGUUUCUCCCUCCUUCUGUCACUGUUUCACAAGUGAAAUCAGCCUCACUAUACUGUUUGCGUCCUGUUCCCACUCCCAUCUCCAUGCCUGCUUCCAUAUGCAUGCAAUGGCCAACUUUUUAAUAUUUGGGCUUAGUUAAAUCCUUCCUGAAGUAUUGGCAAACAUUAGCCCACUGGCCAAAGGCUUGUUCCAUUAUAACAUGUUUAAGAAACCAGGAGGAAGGAAAAAGAAGACUAUUCUAAGCUAAUACCUUCCCUAUGGGUCCUGGUGCCUCUGUCUGUCUUUUAUACAAUAAGCUAUUCAAUGCAGGGAACAUGCCACUAAGCACACUGCUCCCUCUUAAUGAAUAACAAUUAAUGGUAGUAAAUAUAGGAUGAAAAAAAAACGUACUAGAGAGGUCUCAAAUGCACUAUAGUAAUGAAGGCAAUGGCCAUUAGCAGCCUGUUCCUGUGAGAUGCUAAGAAAGCUCAGCAGUCUUAUGCUGAGCUUCUUUGUACAUGAUAAUGUGACGUAUUAGCAUUUUUAGUUUAUAUUUGUUUAGGUAAUUUUAAAAUAAUGAGCAAAUUGUCAGUCUGCAGAUCCUUAGGCUGUUUUAUUUUAGUUUGCUGUAACUGAUUAUUUAAAAAUUGGCAAUUGCAAAUUUUAAGUAUUAGUCAUUUGGCUUGGGUAAUUAGAUUAGUUAUUAGAACCAGAGAAUCUCGACUCUCUUACCACAAACAUUAACAUAAAUGCAGCACUACUUCCCUUGUUGCGUUGCUGCUUUACUGUCAUCCUGAAUGGUCCAUGCAGUGUAUUGAGUAAAUUAGUUAACUUUUCAGACUUAAUAUAGCAAAGUUCAAUUUUUUACAGCAGACAGUACCAUAUCAGAGUAUCUGUCAAGUAAACAAAUUGUGUAAUAUACGGCAGACUGACUUUAAAUGACCUAGUAUGUUUUUUUUCCUCAACAAUCUCAGAGAUGUACGAGAUGUUAAGGAAAUACUAAAAAAGGAAUUCACAAACAAAAACAUGAAUGUGAAUGAUCAUAAGAGAAAGGAAAUGGAACAUCCAAAUCAUAAUUUGGUAUUAACAUCCAGCACCCAACUCCCUAGCAGGUGUGCAUAGGUGAAGCCAGGGG